This 293-nucleotide ribosomal RNA is filed under the name uncultured bacterium. RNAcentral describes it as "partial 16S ribosomal RNA". It matches the Rfam family "Archaeal small subunit ribosomal RNA", at positions 455 to 747 of the family's 1478-position model. The record is from RNAcentral.
GUGCCAGCCGCCGCGGUAAUACCGGCAGCCCGAGUGAUGGCCGAUCUUAUUGGGCCUAAAGCGUCCGUAGCUGGCCGCGCAAGUCCAUCGGAAAAUCCACCCGCCCAACGGGUGGGCGUCCGGUGGAAACUGCGUGGCUUGGGACCGGAAGGCGCGACGGGUACGUCCGGGGUAGGAGUGAAAUCCCGUAAUCCUGGACGGACCACCGGUGGCGAAAGCGCCUCGAGAGGACGGACCCGACAGUGAGGGACGAAAGCUGGGAUCUCGAACCGGAUUAGAUACCACUGUAGUCC